UGAAUACGAGAUGCUACGGCGUCGAAGCAGUGUAUGUCAGACUUCCAAGAAAAGCUCGCAAUGUCAUAAAUAAAGAAUGCCUGUACCAUAACCGACACAGGUGGGUAGGUAGAGUAUACUAAGGGGCGCGAGAUAACUCUCUCUAAGGAACUCGGCAAAAUAACUCCGUAACUUCGGGAGAAGGAGUGCCUUCUUUAAGAAGGUUGCAAUAACAAGAUCCAAGCAACUGUUUAUCAAAAACACAGGUCUCCGCUAAGUCGUAAGACGAUGUAUGGGGGCUGACGCCUGCCCAGUGCCAGAAGGUUAAAGAAGUUGGUUAGCUUUUGCGAAGCUGAUGACUGAAGCCCUGGUGAACGGCGGCCGUAACUAUAACGGUCCUAAGGUAGCGAAAUUCCUUGUCGGGUAAGUUCCGACCCGCACGAAAGGCGUAAUGAUUUGGAUACUGUCUCGGAGAGGGACUCGGUGAAAUAGACUUGUCUGUGAAGAUGCGGACUACCUGCACCAGGACAGAAAGACCCUAUGAAGCUUUACUGUAACUUGAAAUUGAAAUUGGACUUUAUUUGCGCAGUAUAGGUAGAAGGCGUUGAAAGUAAUCUUGCGGGAUUAGUGGAGCCAUCAGUGAGAUACCACUCCUAUAAUGUUAGAUUUCUAACUUUGGAUCAUGAUCUGGUCAAAGAACAGUUUCAGGCGGGCAGUUUGACUGGGGCGGUCGCCUCCCAAAUGGUAACGGAGGCGUACAAAGGUUUCCUCUGAACGGGUAGAAAUCGUAUCUAGAGUGUAAAGGCAUAAGGAAGCUUGACUGUGAGACCUACAAGUCGAGCAGGGACGAAAGUCGGUCUUAGUGAUCUGACGGUGCUGAGUGGAAAGGCCGUCACUCAACGGAUAAAAGUUACUCUAGGAUAACAGGCUGAUCUCCCCCAAGAGUUCACAUCGACGGGGAGGUUUGGCACCUCGAUGUCGGCUCAUCGCAUCCUGGGGCGGUAGUACGUCCCAAGGGUUGGGCUGUUCGCCCAUGAAAGCGGUACGCGAGCUGGGUUCAGAACGUCGUGAGACAGUUCGGUCCAUAUCCGGUGUAGGCGUUAGAAUAUUGAGAGGAGCCUUCUUUAGUACGAGAGGACCGAGAAGGACAUACCUCUGGUGUACCAGUUAUCGUGCCAACGGUAAACGCUGGGUAGCUAUGUAUGGAGAGGAUAACCGCUGAAAGCAUCUAAGUGGGAAGCCCACCUCAAGAUGAGUAUUCUC
This 1242-nucleotide ribosomal RNA is filed under the name metagenome. RNAcentral describes it as "bacterial LSU rRNA". It matches the Rfam family "Bacterial large subunit ribosomal RNA", at positions 1564 to 2815 of the family's 2925-position model. The record is from RNAcentral.